Non-coding RNA from Paramuricea clavata, 263 nucleotides. Lineage: Eukaryota; Metazoa; Cnidaria; Anthozoa; Malacalcyonacea; Plexauridae. The record is from the annotation of a GenBank genome assembly.
GGCGAGGUUCGAUCGACAUCAUAUGCAAUGAUUCAUCUAUUGCCCCACUAAUAUAUGUGCCAAACCUAACUGCAUGUAUAUUGUUAGGAUUAUAGAGUAGCCGUCACAUGUCCAAUACUUUAUAUUUGUGAAUUCUCAACACAAAUUCUGCAGGAAAUUGAUAGAUUUCCGUGAGGCAUGAGGACCUGUAUAGAUGAACGACCCAGUUACACAUGGAUUAGCACGAACUAUAGCUCGUUUCAUCUCCCUCUAUAUAUGCGCCC